This is a long non-coding RNA of Mya arenaria, 362 nucleotides long. RefSeq lists it as uncharacterized. The transcript is spliced from 3 exons. The record is from RefSeq and is a predicted model, not a curated record. NCBI's taxonomy places the organism in Eukaryota, Metazoa, Mollusca, Bivalvia, Myida, Myidae.
CGAGGGGUUCCGAAUGUUUUUGAAAAAAAUGGCCGAGGAGCUCCGAAUGGUACAAAAUGCGUACUAUUCUAAUAGAUGGUGAGUUUGACGCCGCCCGGCCGCCCGCACACCAGCCCGUCCGAACAACGACGUUCCGUCAUUCUAAUAACCAGGUUACACUAUGUGAAAACCUGGUUUAUAAAGGUUGUCCGGGGUAGCCCAAUGGUAAGCGCACUCACUUCUCAUCUAGGCAACUCAGGUUCGAUUCCCAGCUUGGGCGCAUGUCAGUUUGGUUUGUGGUCACCAAGCCAGACAAGCGGGUUUUCUCUGGUUUUCCCCCACAACACAAGACCACACUCUCUCAUAAAAUUGUGCCAACACGA